GGCGCAUUCGUCUAGUGGCCUAGGAUACCGCCCUCUCAAGGCGGAGACAGGGGUUCGACUCCCCUAUGCGCUA
This 73-nucleotide transfer RNA is filed under the name Anaerolineae bacterium. RNAcentral's name for it is "tRNA-Glu". It matches the Rfam family "tRNA". From Rfam's summary of the family: Transfer RNA (tRNA) molecules are approximately 80 nucleotides in length. Their secondary structure includes four short double-helical elements and three loops (D, anti-codon, and T loops). Further hydrogen bonds mediate the characteristic L-shaped molecular structure. tRNAs have two regions of fundamental functional importance: the anti-codon, which is responsible for specific mRNA codon recognition, and the 3' end, to which the tRNAs corresponding amino acid is attached (by aminoacyl-tRNA synthetases). tRNAs cope with the degeneracy of the genetic code in two manners: having more than one tRNA (with a specific anti-codon) for a particular amino acid; and 'wobble' base-pairing, i.e. permitting non-standard base-pairing at the 3rd anti-codon position. Lineage: Bacteria; Bacillati; Chloroflexota; Anaerolineae. The record is from RNAcentral. RNAcentral also lists the same sequence under 1 other name.